RNAcentral lists this long non-coding RNA (1162 nucleotides) under Homo sapiens (human). Its description in RNAcentral is "testis expressed 41". The record is from RNAcentral. Lineage: Eukaryota; Metazoa; Chordata; Mammalia; Primates; Hominidae.
AGACCUAUGAAGGUCGAAGGGGAAGAAAAGCUGUAUCGAUUGUUGAGAUCUGGCGACUUGUUUAAAUUUCAUCAGCCUCACUUCUAUGAACUCUCAGGCCUCACGUGUACCAGCUCUCUGCUCUCCUUUGCCUUGGGACGUUCCAUCCCUGGAAGUUUCCCUGCCCACAUCUUUGUAGAGAGUCCAUUCUCCAAGCUUCAGUGUGUCAUCUGUGAGGACCGUGACCCACCUGGUACAUCGCCUCAGGGCAUUCAUUUCAGGCUCCUUCUAAAUGGCCAAGGAUCAGAGGGAAACAGACCAUUUUCUAUUGUGACAAAGAGAGAACCCAGGAAAGGGGCAGUGUUUUUCCCCUCACAGGUGAUGGAGUUUUUAUAAAGAAUGCAGCGGAUAAUGGCAGGCUUGUCCUCUGAACAGAUGGUGAUGGUCUUGUUGCUAGGAUGAGGCCUCAAGAAUUUAGUUUUUAAUUCCACAUUAUUUGCCUCAGUGCCAUGAAUAUCCCUAGGUUUCCUGAGGCAAAAAUACAGAAAAAAAAUCCACAGAAAGAGUGACACACAGAGAGAGAAAGAGCAAGAGAUGGGGCAACUGAGCAGAGACUGGAGCCCGGUCAAGAGAGGCUUUGGGGAAAAUGCCUGCUCAGCUGUCUGCAAUCACCUGGGUUUAAAGCAGGCAGGAAGGAAGAUUGGUUUGGCAGGAGAACUGGCCCUUUGAUGCCUUCGAUACCACAGAGAAAAAUUCCCAUUUCUUCCCAUUAGAAGUCUGUUUACUUUCCUAAUUAAGAUAAACAUGUUUCUGAAGGAGUUAGCUCUUAUAGCAUGACAUUUAUAAAAUCAACUAUAUAUACACACAAGAAUGUUUGCCAGGAAUUUGGGCUGAUGGUGAUUGUAUGAAGCAUUUUAUAGAAAUAUUUUUAAAUAGUUGCCUUAUUUAAAAAUGAGCGACUUUCAUUCCCUCCAGUCAAUUAAAUAUCUAAUUUCAACUCUCGGAGAUAAUAACUGAAGUAGUUUUUUUAAUAAAUGAAUGAACAGUUAGAAAACUGUUAAACACAUAGCCCUGAAGCAUGAAAAAUAUAUUCGUUGAACAGCUUUAUUCUUUUAUUGUUAAUUUACUUCAGAGAAUAUCCACUCGUGUAAUUUUCAAUAAAGUACUCUUAUUUUGAAGUCUC